RNAcentral lists this ribosomal RNA (892 nucleotides) under Amphichorda felina. Its description in RNAcentral is "Beauveria felina partial large subunit ribosomal RNA". It matches the Rfam family "Eukaryotic large subunit ribosomal RNA", at positions 37 to 964 of the family's 3401-position model. Lineage: Eukaryota; Fungi; Ascomycota; Sordariomycetes; Hypocreales; Bionectriaceae. The record is from RNAcentral.
AGCAUAUCAAUAAGCGGAGGAAAAGAAACCAACAGGGAUUGCCCUAGUAACGGCGAGUGAAGCGGCAACAGCUCAAAUUUGAAAUCUGGCCCCAGGCCCGAGUUGUAAUUUGCAGAGGAUGCUUUUGGCGACGCGCCUUCCGAGUUCCCUGGAACGGGACGCCAUAGAGGGUGAGAGCCCCGUACGGUCGUGCGCCUAGCCUCUGUAAAGCUCCUUCGACGAGUCGAGUAGUUUGGGAAUGCUGCUCUAAAUGGGAGGUAUACGUCUUCUAAAGCUAAAUACCGGCCAGAGACCGAUAGCGCACAAGUAGAGUGAUCGAAAGAUGAAAAGCACUUUGAAAAGAGGGUUAAAUAGUACGUGAAAUUGCUGAAAGGGAAGCGCUCAUGACCAGACUUGGGCCGGUGAAUCAUCCAGCGUUCUCGCUGGUGCACUUUGCCGGUCCAGGCCAGCAUCAGUUCGCGCCGGGGGAUAAAGGCUUCGGGAAUGUGGCUCCUCCGGGAGUGUUAUAGCCCGUUGCGUAAUACCCUGGGGUGGACUGAGGUACGCGCUCCGCAAGGAUGCUGGCGUAAUGGUCAUCAGCGACCCGUCUUGAAACACGGACCAAGGAGUCGUCUUCGUAUGCGAGUGUUCGGGUGUCAAACCCUUACGCGUAAUGAAAGUGAACGUAGGAGAGAGCUUCGGCGCAUCUCCGACCGAUCCUGAUGUUCUCGGAUGGAUUUGAGUAAGAGCAUACGGGGCCGGACCCGAAAGAAGGUGAACUAUGCCUGUAUAGGGUGAAGCCAGAGGAAACUCUGGUGGAGGCUCGCAGCGGUUCUGACGUGCAAAUCGAUCGUCAAAUAUGGGCAUGGGGGCGAAAGACUAAUCGAACCUUCUAGUAGCUGGUUUCCGCCGA